Long non-coding RNA from Anopheles gambiae (African malaria mosquito), 551 nucleotides. RefSeq lists it as uncharacterized. The record is from RefSeq and is a predicted model, not a curated record. NCBI's taxonomy places the organism in Eukaryota, Metazoa, Arthropoda, Insecta, Diptera, Culicidae. The transcript has 3 exons.
GCACGUUAAAAUUAAAAAACCGCAAGAACGUCCGCUUACUUUCCUGAAUAGGAAAUCAUUUUACAGCAUUAACACAUUGAUUGUGUGUGACCAUAAAACACGAAUACGAGCCGUUGAUGCACGAUUUGCUGGAUCACAUCACGAUGCGCACAUAUGGCGAGUGAGCAUUGUGCGCAAAUAUUUCCAACGAUUGCACAGAAGCGGGCAAAGGGAUAAGAUUUUGGGGGAUGCUGGGUAUCCAUCGGAACCGUGGCUAGUAAGACCGCACAGAGACCCAGACGAAGGAUCCGCCGAGGCAGAAUUUAACAAAAAACACUCUUCUGGUCGGAUGAUUGUAGAACAGACCAUAGGCGUUUGGAAAUCCCGGUUUCGAUAUCUCGCUGGGACAGACAGAUCACUAAACUACGAUCCUGUAACAAGUGGUCUUAUUAUUAACACAUGUUGUGCGUUGCAUAACAUCUGUAUUGAAAAUAAUAUAGAGUGGCAACAAACUUUCACAGAUUUAUUAGAAAAUAUUUGAGAAAAAUAAAUGCUAGUUUUUGCGCAAAAAA